Long non-coding RNA from Macrobrachium nipponense, 391 nucleotides. RefSeq lists it as uncharacterized. Lineage: Eukaryota; Metazoa; Arthropoda; Malacostraca; Decapoda; Palaemonidae. The record is from RefSeq and is a predicted model, not a curated record. The transcript has 3 exons.
GUUCUGAACCGAGCGAGAAAUCGCACUUUCCUUAUAUUAGCAGCUGCAGAAAGAAGCAGACGAGGAUCCAUUUGGAUUCUAUAUCUGUUUCUGUCUCAAACUGGGAUUUCGUACAACUUCUUUUGUAGUUUAUUUCUACAAUUGUCAAGUUCACACUGAAAGUAAGGUGGAAGAAAGGAUGUGGACGGAGGUACAGUAAAAGGAAUGAAAGGGGUUGCAGCUAGGGGCCGAAGGGAUGCUGCAAAGAACCUCAAGCAAAUGCCUACAGUGCACCACGUGGAAGUGCACCGAUGGCACUACAGCCUUACGGGGUUUGAAGGAAUGUUGGUGUCCAUUAGUAUAGUAGAUUCACAUCAACCGUGCAUUUGAUGUCUAGGCCAGUCCCUUACGA